AAGCCAUUUCGACGACGCUCCUUUUGCUAGUCUCGACGAGAUUUAUUUUUCACCGCGGGUUUUUCUUUCUUUCUCUCUUUCGAUAUCAACGUUAUUUACGACCAGCGCCCGAGACGCGCCGCGAGCGACUGACGAAUUUUACGUUUCCACCGCCGCCGGUGUUCCACUCCACUUCUAUCCGCUGUACAUACAUGUAUGUAUACAUGUGUAUAUACCCGACCAGAUCGUUUCGGGAGAAGGGAACGAUCGGAAACGGACCGUUCUGCCUCACGAGAUCCUCAACUUGCGCGCAUACUUUACGAUCCUCCGAAGAAUUAUUAUUUAUUUUGGAUUUUCGCCUUCCGGACGUCGUUCGAAAAAUUGAAACGGAUCCGAGGGGAGGUCCUCCGCCGCGCGGCCGGACCUCGGGUAAAUCUUCCUUUCCUUUUUUAUUGUUAUUUAUUUAUUUAUUUUUUUUUUUUUAUGGCCUAUUUCUCCUCCUUCGUUCUAUUUUCUCUCAAGUUUCCCUAGGGGCCUACCGAACGACCUACUCUGCCAAUUUUUUUAUCGAUGAAAUAAUUAAGGCUACGCGAGAAUGAAAAUCUUGACCUCGCUCAAACUGGUUUGCGAUUAUCGAAAUUUUUACGUCAUUCUCGCACCGCAGGUUCGGUUAACUUGUUCUAAGGUGUGUCGAUACUCCCUCGUCGCUACGAAUCCUGAAUAUCCAGCCCAGAAGAAUGAUUAUCGCAGAAA
Molecule: long non-coding RNA, 732 nt
Organism: Athalia rosae (coleseed sawfly)
Lineage: Eukaryota; Metazoa; Arthropoda; Insecta; Hymenoptera; Athaliidae
Exons: 2
Source: RefSeq, a predicted model, not a curated record